GUAGGUGGGCAAGCGUUGUCCGGAAUUAUUGGGCGUAAAAGCGCGCGCAGGCGGUCCUUUAAGUCUGAUGUGAAAGCCCACGGCUCAACCGUGGAGGGUCAUUGGAAACUGGGGGACUUGAGUACAGAAGAGGAAAGCGGAAUUCCAAGUGUAGCGGUGAAAUGCGUAGAGGUUUGGAGGAACACCAGUGGCGAAGGCGGCUUUCUGGUCUGUAACUGACGCUGAGGCGCGAAAGCGUGGGGAGCAAACAGGAUUAGAUACCCUGGUAGUCCACGCCGUAAACGAUGAGUGCUAAGUGUUAGGGGGUUUCCGCCCCUUAGUGCUGCAGCUAACGCAUUAAGCACUCCGCCUGGGGAGUACGGCCGCAAGGCUG
This 373-nucleotide ribosomal RNA is filed under the name uncultured organism. RNAcentral's name for it is "partial 16S ribosomal RNA". It matches the Rfam family "Bacterial small subunit ribosomal RNA", at positions 526 to 896 of the family's 1533-position model. The record is from RNAcentral.